This 505-nucleotide ribosomal RNA is filed under the name uncultured bacterium. RNAcentral describes it as "bacterial SSU rRNA". It matches the Rfam family "Bacterial small subunit ribosomal RNA", at positions 26 to 518 of the family's 1533-position model. The record is from RNAcentral.
AGGACGAACGCUGGCGGCGUGCCUAACACAUGCAAGUCGAGCGGGGACAUACGACGGAGUCAAAGUUUCGGAUGGAGACGAAGAUGUAUGUUCUAGCGGCGGACGGGUGAGUAACGCGUGAGCAACCUGUCCCUUACAGGGGGAUAACACAGCGAAAGUUGUACUAAUACCGCAUGAGACCACGGGAGGACAUCCUCCAGGGGUCAAAGGAGCAAUCCGGUAAGGGGUGGGCUCGCGUCCGAUUAGAUAGUUGGUGAGGUAACGGCCCACCAAGUCGACGAUCGGUAGCCGACCUGAGAGGGUGAUCGGCCACAUUGGGACUGAGACACGGCCCAAACUCCUACGGGAGGCAGCAGUGGGGAAUAUUGGGCAAAUGGGGGAAACCCUGACCCAGCAACGCCGCGUGAGGGAAGAAGGUUUUCGGAUCGUAAACCUCUGUCCUUGGUGAAGAGUAAGAGACGGUAGCCAAGGAGGAAGCCCCGGCUAACUACGUGCCAGCCGCCGC